CAGCAGCCGCGGUAAUGCGAAGGGUGCAAGCGUUAAUCGGAAUUACUGGGCGUAAAGCGUGCGCAGGCGGUUGUGUAAGACAGGUGUGAAAUCCCCGGGCUUAACCUGGGAACUGCGCUUGUGACUGCACAGCUAGAGUAUGGCAGAGGGGGGUGGAAUACCACGUGUAGCAGUGAAAUGCGUAGAGAUGUGGAGGAACACCGAUGGCGAAGGCAGCCCCCUGGGCCAAUACUGACGCUCAUGCACGAAAGCGUGGGGAGCAAACAGGAUUAGAUACCCGUGUAGUCCCUGUCUCUUAUAA
RNAcentral lists this ribosomal RNA (301 nucleotides) under uncultured bacterium. Its description in RNAcentral is "partial 16S ribosomal RNA". It matches the Rfam family "Bacterial small subunit ribosomal RNA", at positions 509 to 809 of the family's 1533-position model. The record is from RNAcentral.